This is a small nucleolar RNA of Alosa sapidissima (American shad), 157 nucleotides long. RefSeq annotates it as small nucleolar RNA U109. The transcript has a single exon. The record is from RefSeq and is a predicted model, not a curated record. Lineage: Eukaryota; Metazoa; Chordata; Actinopteri; Clupeiformes; Clupeidae.
CUGCAUGCAUGCAAUGGGUUUACCACUGCAAAUAACUCUCCCUCUCUCCACACAAUGAGAUGAAGGGGUUAAAAAGCAUGCUAUAAAAACAUGGAGUUAACAGGGCCACCAGCCUCUCAAGAACAGGCUGUGUCGGUAGUAUAAAACUCCCACAUUU